RNAcentral lists this ribosomal RNA (571 nucleotides) under uncultured bacterium. Its description in RNAcentral is "partial 16S ribosomal RNA". It matches the Rfam family "Bacterial small subunit ribosomal RNA", at positions 356 to 919 of the family's 1533-position model. The record is from RNAcentral.
UGGGAAUUUUGGACAAUUGGGCGAAAGCCUGAUCCAGCAAUGCCGCGUGUGUGAAGAAGGCCUUCGGGUUGUAAAGCACUUUUGUCCGGAAAGAAAUCCUUGGCUCUAAUACAGUCGGGGGAUGACGGUACCGGAAGAAUAAGCACCGGCUAACUACGUGCCAGCAGCCGCGGUAAUACGUAGGGUGCAAGCGUUAAUCGGAAUUACUGGGCGUAAAGCGUGCGCAGGCGGUUUGCUAAGACCGAUGUGAAAUCCCCGGGCUCAACCUGGGAACUGCAUUGGUGACUGGCAGGCUAGAGUAUGGCAGAGGGGGGUAGAAUUCCACGUGUAGCAGUGAAAUGCGUAGAGAUGUGGAGGAAUACCGAUGGCGAAGGCAGCCCCCUGGGCCAAUACUGACGCUCAUGCACGAAAGCGUGGGGAGCAAACAGGAUUAGAUACCCUGGUAGUCCACGCCCUAAACGAUGUCAACUAGUUGUUGGGGAUUCAUUUCCUUAGUAACGUAGCUAACGCGUGAAGUUGACCGCCUGGGGAGUACGGUCGCAAGAUUAAAACUUAAAUGAAUUGACGGGGU